Molecule: ribosomal RNA, 416 nt
Filed under: uncultured bacterium
Lineage: Bacteria
Description: bacterial SSU rRNA
Rfam family: Bacterial small subunit ribosomal RNA
Source: RNAcentral
AUUGAACGCUGGCGGCAGGCCUAACACAUGCAAGUCGAGCGGAUGAGUGGAGCUUGCUCCAUGAUUCAGCGGCGGACGGGUGAGUAAUGCCUAGGAAUCUGCCUGGUAGUGGGGGACAACGUUUCGAAAGGAACGCUAAUACCGCAUACGUCCUACGGGAGAAAGCAGGGGACCUUCGGGCCUUGCGCUAUCAGAUGAGCCUAGGUCGGAUUAGCUAGUAGGUGAGGUAAUGGCUCACCUAGGCGACGAUCCGUAACUGGUCUGAGAGGAUGAUCAGUCACACUGGAACUGAGACACGGUCCAGACUCCUACGGGAGGCAGCAGUGGGGAAUAUUGGACAAUGGGCGAAAGACCUGAUCCAGCCAUGCCGCGUGUGUGAAGAAGGUCUUCGGAUUGUAAAGCACUUUAAGUUAGGG